UAGAGGGUGCGAACGUUGCUCGGAAUUACUGGGCGUAAAGCGCGUGUAGGCGGACAAUCAAGUCGCGUGUGAAAGCCCCCGGCUCAACUGGGGAGGGUCACGCGAUACUGAUCGACUCGAAGGCAGGAGAGGGAAGUGGAAUUCCCGGUGUAGUGGUGAAAUGCGUAGAUAUCGGGAGGAACACCAGUGGCGAAGGCGACUUCCUGGCCUGCUCUUGACGCUGAGGCGCGAAAGCUAGGGGAGCAAACGGG
RNAcentral lists this ribosomal RNA (251 nucleotides) under uncultured bacterium. RNAcentral's name for it is "partial 16S ribosomal RNA". It matches the Rfam family "Bacterial small subunit ribosomal RNA", at positions 526 to 776 of the family's 1533-position model. The record is from RNAcentral.